Molecule: ribosomal RNA, 292 nt
Filed under: uncultured bacterium
Lineage: Bacteria
Description: partial 16S ribosomal RNA
Rfam family: Bacterial small subunit ribosomal RNA
Source: RNAcentral
GUGUCAGCAGCCGCGGUAAUACAGAGGGUGCGAGCGUUGUUCGGAAUCACUGGGCGUAAAGGGUGUGUAGGCGGUGAAGUGUGUCCGAUGUGAAAGCCCUCGGCUUAACCGAGGAAGUGCAUUGGAAACUACUUCGCUAGAGUGUGGGAGAGGAUAGUGGAAUUCCCGAAGUAGAGGUGAAAUUCGUAGAGAUCGGGAGGAACACCAGAGGCGAAGGCGGCUAUCUGGCCCAUAACUGACGCUGAGACACGAAAGCGUGGGGAGCAAACAGGAUUAGAAACCCCAGUAGUCC